GAUGAACGCUAGCGGCAGGCCUAAUACAUGCAAGUCGAACGGUCCGCAAGGAUAGUGGCAAACGGGUGCGUAACGCGUAAGCAACCUGCCCCAUACCGGGGGAUAGCCUAGCGAAAGCCGGGGUAAACCCGCAUAGUCCCUUUCUGUUUCAUGACGGGUCGGGUAAACAUUUAUGGGUAUGGGAGGGGCUUGCGUCUGAUUAGUUAGUUGGCGGGGUAACGGCCCACCAAGACGUUGAUCAGUAGGGGUUCUGAGAGGAUUGGCCCCCACAUGGGUACUGAGAUACGGACCCAACUCCUACGGGAGGCAGCAGUAGGGAAUAUUGGGCAAUGGAGGCAACUCUGACCCAGCCAUGCCGCGUGCAGGAUGAAGGCGCUCAGCGUCGUAAACUGCUUUUAUCUGGGAAGAACUGCGGGGAUGCGUCCUUGUUUGACGGUACCAGAGGAAUAAGCACCGGCUAACUCCGUG
This 468-nucleotide ribosomal RNA is filed under the name uncultured organism. RNAcentral's name for it is "bacterial SSU rRNA". It matches the Rfam family "Bacterial small subunit ribosomal RNA", at positions 28 to 507 of the family's 1533-position model. The record is from RNAcentral.